ACACUUCCCUGGCAGGGGAGAUACCAUGAUGAUGAAGGUGGUUUUCUAGGGCGAGUCUUAUCCACUGCACUCUGGCUGUGCUGACCCCUGCGAUUUCCCCAAAUGUGGGAAACUCAACUGCAUAAUUUGUGGUAGUAGGGGACUACAUUUGUGCUUUCCUCUG
Nycticebus coucang (slow loris) is the source of this 163-nucleotide small nuclear RNA. RefSeq annotates it as U1 spliceosomal RNA. Lineage: Eukaryota; Metazoa; Chordata; Mammalia; Primates; Lorisidae. The record is from RefSeq and is a predicted model, not a curated record. The transcript has a single exon.